GAUGAACGCUGGCGGCGUGCCUAAUACAUGCGAGUCGAGCGAACAGACGAGGAGCUUGCUCCUCUGACGUUAGCGGCGGACGGGUGAGUAACACGUGGAUAACCUACCUAUAAGACUGGGAUAACUUCGGGAAACCGGAGCUAAUACCGGAUAAUAUAUUGAACCGCAUGGUUCAAUAGUGAAAGACGGUUUUGCUGUCACUUAUAGAUGGAUCCGCGCUGCAUUAGCUAGUUGGUAAGGUAACGGCUUACCAAGGCAACGAUGCGUAGCCGACCUGAGAGGGUGAUCGGCCACACUGGAACUGAGACACGGUCCAGACUCCUACGGGAGGCAGCAGUAGGGAAUCUUCCGCAAUGGGCGAAAGCCUGACGGAGCAACGCCGCGUGAGUGAUGAAGGUCUUCGGAUCGUAAAACUCUGUUAUUAGGGAAGAACAAAUGUGUAAGUAACUAUGCACGUCUUGACGGUACCUAAUCAGAAAGCCACGGCCAACUACGUG
RNAcentral lists this ribosomal RNA (497 nucleotides) under uncultured bacterium. Its description in RNAcentral is "partial 16S ribosomal RNA". It matches the Rfam family "Bacterial small subunit ribosomal RNA", at positions 28 to 507 of the family's 1533-position model. The record is from RNAcentral.